Molecule: long non-coding RNA, 1359 nt
Organism: Schistocerca gregaria
Lineage: Eukaryota; Metazoa; Arthropoda; Insecta; Orthoptera; Acrididae
Exons: 3
Source: RefSeq, a predicted model, not a curated record
GCAGUAUUGCGCUUGCUACAGUAAGCCUCCCUGCGUGUGGUAAAAAUCAAUGUAUUACUUGCGUGUAUGUUCUGUACUGAAAUUGCGGGUGGUAGGUUGUGCGAGUUUGUGUUCUUCCUGACCGGCAUCUAAAAAUUCUUAUUUACUAUUGAGUUAGCUUAACUAAAGAUACAGUAACUCUAAGAGCCUCCCCAGCUAACAUUAAUAAUUCAGUAGGACUUUACUGUAUCAUACUAACGUCACUCCACGUUACCAGAAUCAAUGUCUGCUUUUCUUGUCAGCAGAUGAUGGUUCCAAGAACGUCUGCCAGCCAGGGCAAGUAGCUGUUUUAUAUGCUGCGAAGUGGUGGGAACAGCAGCAGCACUCAUGACUGCCCUCACCAGCACUAACAGAAUCAGCCAGAGGCUGGCUGAAAUUAUACACAUGUGGAGUGUUGAAACAAAGGAAAGGAAUGCUCUGUUAAGUGUGCUGUUCACAAAUUAAUGAGUUACAUGGAUGUCGGCCAAGCAAGUGCUACGUGUGCGGAGGAGCAGUUGGUGCAACAGGCUCACCCCUGAUGGCCUGUACUGGAACCACAAAAAUGCGACUAUAUCAGAGACUGGCAAAAAUAGACAUUCUGGACAUCGCCAUAGAGCAAGCCGGAAUGCUGUGCCUAGUGUGCUGAGCCAGUAUUAAUAAAAUGCAUGAGCACGAAACCCGGCUGAAGCAAAAAAAAAAAUAAAUAAAUAAAUAAAUAAAUAAAUAAAUAAAAAUAAAAAAAUAAAAAAAAUAUAUAAUCCUCCUCCUGUUUCCCUGGGACCCUGAUUAUGGAAAUCACUGCGAAAACUCCAAAAAUAAGUCACAUUAAAUGAUUAAACUUGCCACAGAAAGUUAAGCAUGUAACCGAAGGUAUGUCUAUUUCAUUAAACAACAGCUGUCCAACAUGUAUAUUAAUGUAAUGAACUGGCUCUGACUGCUUACCUAAACACAAUGGAAAAUUGUGUGUGGAAGUAGCACAAACAAUGUCAGAGAAAUGGCUAUGAAAAACCAUUUCUAGCUCAUGUUCUUUGGGACUGAUUUUUUGACUCCUCUGAGGAAGUUGCCUCUUCAGGCAGACGGGUCCAAUGCCUCUCAGAUUUGGUGCCAGGGUGCAUGACUGAAGUUAGAAAUAAUGGGGCAUUCUGGAUAAAAAUUAAGGCACUGAAAAUAUUUUACUUUCUUUCUUUGGUCUGCUGCACAGUGUUGUGUCAGUGACAGCCAGCACACAAUAUCAAAGAUGAGAAGAAAAUUUGAGCUAGUUCUAAUUGACAUUACCCUUGUAACUGAAAUUUAUUUUUAUUUAAUAUUCUGAGUAUUAGGUUGUCUUUACUUGCUCUGUCU